Carassius auratus (goldfish) is the source of this 2345-nucleotide long non-coding RNA. RefSeq lists it as uncharacterized. The record is from RefSeq and is a predicted model, not a curated record. NCBI's taxonomy places the organism in Eukaryota, Metazoa, Chordata, Actinopteri, Cypriniformes, Cyprinidae. The transcript has 2 exons.
AUUUAUUCAUUUAUCAAUAUCUAUCCAUUUCUAAUGACCUAUACAAUGAUAUUCCUUUAAAUGUCUGAAGCAUUAAUGGUUACAGAUGUGAGGGCUUUUUCUUGGGGAGGUGACCCAACACGUAUCCCAGUAUCCUAACUGCCUCUCUUCUCAGUCACAUGCUUGCUGCAGCUAUCCUUCAUUUGCCAGAGGACAAUCAGAGAGUCCACUGACAGCCCCUACAGCAGUGCUGCCGAAUACUGGGCUCCAUAACAGAAGCCCACCGGGUUCUGAUGCAUCAAAGCACAUGGAAGAAAAAAACCCCUAAGAGCCUAGAGUGAAGCGAUCCGUUUCAUAAUCACUGCUUUUCUUUUGAUCUAUACCACAAAGAGGCUGACUACCAACUACAACAGAGCUGUAAAAUCCCAACAAACUACAUUAAUUCAGGUGAAAGAGCGACAUAACCUAAUUUUGAUCUAUAAUCCUUAGAAAAACCCGACGUACCUCAUGCCAGGGGCUUAAAAGGGAGGUCUGAACACAAUGCCUGAUUAGGGAUGACUGUUUGGCAGAGCCACGGAUAGGCAAAAUUAGAUUAAUUUGCUUUUGACACACUGUAAUAAUCUAAUAGCAUUUAGCUCAGUGAACCCAGGCUUAAACAAUGGCGGUGAAUGCUCUUUAACCUGAAACCCAGCCAGAAGCAGCUCCAGAACCCAGCCAACACAUCUAAGGAUUAAAAGCCCUCGGUAACCUGAUGGAUGCAACUCCAAUUACAAGCUUAUCAAACUGACAAAAACCGCAGCACGGCUAUUUAUAGAUCGAACCGAGAUAGACCGCCAGCACUGGCCUCCCAAAAGUGGUCAUAAGGCAAUCUGGCCCACACAAGCCACCAGCGUCGAACAAUUCUUCUGCCGCAUGUUGACGCGUACCCUCUGCACACUGACGUGGGCCGCUGGAUGUGACUGAUGCAUGUUGUGCAUUCGUGUGUCAGUUUUGAAGCUAACUGAAAGCAGCACUUGACAGAGAAGAGAGAAUGAUGGGAGCAGAAAGAGAGAGAGAAAUGAAAAUGAGUCAUAUCUCUAAGGAUGCAGACAGAGAGGAGAGCUGUGCACAGGCACGGCUGUCACUGGCCGCAGACACAUGAAUAAAUAAAGGCAUUAUAAUGAAGACAACUCUCCGUCUGCCCAUCCGAGCCUGCCCAGCCUGGCACCAAAGCUCAGGAGGGAGAGAAAGAGAGGAGCGAAUUAAAAAAAAAAAGAAGAAAGAUCGAGAGACAGAACGAGACAGGAGAGGAAGAGAGAGCGGCCCAUCACUGUGAUUGACAAUGAUGAGCACUGUCUGCUUCUAUUAAAUCAAUCAAUCAUCGCUAUAGGACUCGAGUCUCGGUUCUCUCAAUAGCCUAACAAGCUCAGGACUUCACUGUUUCUCUCAGCCGUUUACUCUCAUGUCCCCCCCGCAAAGUGAAACAUCUGGUCAGUUUCUCUUAUCUGCUUUAUUUCACGCUUAUGGGGUGUUGUGUGCCAUUUCCGCUGCGUGCCCCCUGCCAAUGGUGUCAUAUUUGGACUGCUGUCUGUGACUUCUCUUUAACACCUCCCUCCGCUGGGAUGUGACAUCCUCACCACAGCGACAGGGCCGGAGGAGGAAGACAGCCGGCGACUCGGCGAGGGAUGAUCAGAUGCGUGCGGGCCUGUCAGGAGUCUUCAUCGCUCCGUCCAGACUAGGAAUAAGUCAUGCUGCUUGAGUUAUUCAAGAACCGACUAGUCGAUUAUGGAGAUCGACUAGACCUUUUCUUUCUUUCUUUUUUUUUUUCUGUCCAGCUGAAAGAGACACCAACACAGCUGGUAUUAACCCAGUUUGAAAUUGACCCCACCCCCCCGCCCUCCUCUGAGAAAGAAAGAGCCUUUCAAAAGCUGGAGGCAGUGCUCCAUUCAAACCGAGCUACAGGAUCAGAGGCUUUGCAGGGUGACCUUUGACCCCACAGUGCCACAAGGGUUUGCAAAGCAACAAAAGCCAGUUUUACAUCCCUCACAGCCUGACAAGAACAUGGUAGGAAAUUGUCAAUUUAUCCAAAGAAUGAAAACAAGCCAGGAGAAUAUUGGUUGACUGAGUUAAUGAAUGCAUUUUUUUUUUUAAAUUCACACAUUACAACCUUUUACACAAAGGUGAAUACGAGUCCUGUUUUUAUUUUGUUCAACACUGAGACUCGCCUGCUACUUGCUGAAUUGAGAAAAGAGGACCUUGGAUUUCUUUGUGCUGUACAGCUAGAGAUGUAAAAGGAGAAAUCUAUAAACUUCUCAACACAUUUGAGAGACAAGCAGGGUAUAAAAAUAAAAAAAACUGAAUGAAUGAAUGAACGUGUGUGUGUGUGU